CUUUAUUAGGGGUGACGCCUGCCCAAUGAUUUGUCCUAAACUGAAACCCCUUAGUGAACCCAAAUUCAAUGGCCGCGGUAUUUCUGACCGUGAUAAUGUAGCGAAAUCAAUCGUCAUUUAAUUGCUGACCGGUAUGAAAGGUAGUACGAAUGUUCCCCUGUCUCAAAGAAAGACUCCAUGAAAUUGUAAGGACCGUGCAUAUACGGUCUCACUCUUGUAAGACGAAAAGACCCUAUUGAGCUUUACUAUCCGCUCCCCCCACCACUGAAACUAGGCCAACCGCUCUAUCCUUCAGGCCUCGGGGAGCCCGUUAGUUUCGUUGGGGCGACGGCCUUUUAAAAAGUAACAAAGGCUAACAAAGAUCUUUUAGACUAAUCUAUAGCAUUUGACUGCCAGGGCUAUACCCCGAACAGACACCUCCGUGGGUGAUAGAUUUCCACUUCUCUAGAUUGGAGCAGUGCCAAAACAUAAAAGUUACCAUAGGGAUAACAGCGUAAUUUUACCGAAGAGUUCUUAUCGAUGGUAAAGAUUGCGACCUCGAUGUUGAAUUGUGGUAUCCUGAGGGUGCAGCAGCUCUC
RNAcentral lists this ribosomal RNA (578 nucleotides) under Calvadosia cruxmelitensis. Its description in RNAcentral is "partial 16S ribosomal RNA". It matches the Rfam family "Bacterial large subunit ribosomal RNA", at positions 1841 to 2566 of the family's 2925-position model. Lineage: Eukaryota; Metazoa; Cnidaria; Staurozoa; Stauromedusae; Kishinouyeidae. The record is from RNAcentral.